CGAUCGGCUCCGUUAGACUUGAUCUAGUGUAUUUGAAGUAUUUAGAAAAUAAAUUUUGCGAUUUUUCGAUAUCAUUUAUCUAACAAUCGAAAGUGUUCAAAAUCAACGGCUGAAAAUAAAUAUCUCACAAAAAGUGAUAAUAUAGCACUAAAAUUUUCAAUCAGAGAUAUUGAUCUUGUUGUGAAUAAUAUAAAAAAUUUUCUAUCAAAAUUUUAUCUGAUUUAAAUAUUUCUAUAUCAUUAAACUUGCAAACGGUAUACAUCAACCAUUAAAAAUUAUUGAUUCUGAACCUUUUUGAUUGCUAGGUAAAUGAUAUCGAAAAAUCACAAAAUUUAUUUUCUAAAUACUUCAAAUACGCUAGAUCAAGACUAACGGAGCCGAUCGUCAAUUCGAAAACUCUAUCAUUGAAAAGGGCUUAGAAGUACAAAGGCCUCCGUGCUCCUAAUAGCACAUAAGAUCUACUAUAUAUAUAACUGAUCAUCCCUAGCGCAAGUGGCAAAGGGCUUGGUGGUUGGUAUUCGAGGUCCGAAGUUCGAAUCCUAGUUGAUUCACAUUUUUAGCUAAGUUUAUUUUUAAAUGAAAUAAACGAAGCGGGUAGCAUGCUACCUAUCUCUCCCGAAAAAAAAAAAAAAAAUCUACUAUAUAUACUACUAUAUAUAUAUAUAGAGAGAGAGAGAGAGAGAGAGAGAGAGAGAGAGAGAAAGUUGGGUUGGAAUACUAUUGAUAGUAUUUGCUCCAUUUUACUAUCAAAUUUUUAUCCUUUGGAUGAGAAAUUGUAGGAUUAGUAUGAUAUUAGUCUUUUAGGAUUGAUUGAGUGAUCCUUCUAGGGUUGAGUGGUCAUCACUAGGCUAUAAUAUUUAAUCAAAUGAUUAGAAAUGAUCAAAGAAAUUGAUCUAAAAGUUAAAAACUUGAUAGCAAAAUGAGACAAAUACUAUUAAUAUUAUUCUAGCCCAACUCUCUCUCUCUCUCUCUAUAUAUAUAAUGUAAAAUAAUUUCGGGUUAGGAUUGUGUUCGGAGUCAAAUCAGGUACAAUCAAAAUCCAUACUUGAAUUUAAUUUCGUUGGAUUUUUAUUUUUUUAAUCUAUAUCUGAAACUAUAUCUAUUUAGUAUCGAAUAAAUUCACUCUGUUCGAAUUCAGAUUCGGAUAAAAUUUCGAAUAUCCAUAUGCAUCGACAUUCCUACCUCUCUCUCCUUACCCUUUCCUCUCCCUUCACCUUCCCUCAUCCUCCCCAAUCUGUUGACGACCU
This 1247-nucleotide long non-coding RNA is filed under the name Ananas comosus (pineapple). Its description in RNAcentral is "long non-coding RNA (ACOM_LNC013936)". Lineage: Eukaryota; Viridiplantae; Streptophyta; Magnoliopsida; Poales; Bromeliaceae. The record is from RNAcentral.